CCCGCUGAACUUAAGCAUAUCAAUAAGCGGAGGAAAAGAAACCAACAGGGAUUGCCCCAGUAACGGCGAGUGAAGCGGCAACAGCUCAAAUUUGAAAUCUGGUCCCCAGGGCCCGAGUUGUAAUUUGUAGAGGAUGCUUUUGGCGAGGUGCCUUCCGAGUUCCCUGGAACGGGACGCCAUAGAGGGUGAGAGCCCCGUCUGGUUGGAUACCAAGCCUCUGUAAAGCUCCUUCGACGAGUCGAGUAGUUUGGGAAUGCUGCUCUAAAUGGGAGGUAUAUGUCUUCUAAAGCUAAAUACCGGCCAGAGACCGAUAGCGCACAAGUAGAGUGAUCGAAAGAUGAAAAGCACUUUGAAAAGAGGGUUAAAUAGUACGUGAAAUUGUUGAAAGGGAAGCGUUUGUGACCAGACUUGGGCCCGGUUAAUCAUCCAGCGUUCUCGCUGGUGCACUUUGCCGGCCCAGGCCAGCAUCAGUUCGCGCCGGGGGAUAAAGGCUUCGGGAAUGUGGCUCCUCCGGGAGUGUUAUAGCCCGCUGCGUAAUACCCUGGUGCGGACUGAGGUUCGCGCUCCGCAAGGAUGCUGGCGUAAUGGUCAUCAGCGACCCGUCUUGAAACACGG
This 615-nucleotide ribosomal RNA is filed under the name uncultured fungus. RNAcentral describes it as "eukaryotic LSU rRNA". It matches the Rfam family "Eukaryotic large subunit ribosomal RNA", at positions 24 to 664 of the family's 3401-position model. Lineage: Eukaryota; Fungi. The record is from RNAcentral.